UACGUAGGGCGCAAGCGUUGUCCGGAAUUAUUGGGCGUAAAGAACUCGUAGGCGGUUUGUCGCGUCUGCUGUGAAAACCUGAGGCUCAACCUCGGGCUUGCAGUGGGUACGGGCAGACUAGAGUGUGGUAGGGGAGACUGGAAUUCCUGGUGUAGCGGUGAAAUGCGCAGAUAUCAGGAGGAACACCGAUGGCGAAGGCAGGUCUCUGGGCCACUACUGACGCUGAGAAGCGAAAGCAUGGGGAGCGAACAGG
Molecule: ribosomal RNA, 253 nt
Filed under: uncultured bacterium
Lineage: Bacteria
Description: partial 16S ribosomal RNA
Rfam family: Bacterial small subunit ribosomal RNA
Source: RNAcentral